Molecule: unclassified non-coding RNA, 338 nt
Filed under: Hevea brasiliensis (rubber tree)
Lineage: Eukaryota; Viridiplantae; Streptophyta; Magnoliopsida; Malpighiales; Euphorbiaceae
Source: RNAcentral
GAAAGCAAAAGCAUUUGGAUGAUUUAAUGGCUAUGGUGGGUCAACUCAGAAAGGAUAAUCAACAAAUCGUCGCUAAUCUCACCGUCACAACGCAGCACUACGCCGCCGUCGAGGCUGAGAAUUCCAUUCUCAAAGCUCAGGCCGCCGAGCUCUCUCACCGUUUGCAAUCCUUGAAUGAGAUCGUGGCUUUCUUGAACCCCUCUGAUGGGGUUUUGGAAGAUGAUACCUACGGCUGCGACGGCGCCGGAGGGUUUUUUAGCCCUCUUCAAAUGGCUUUCUAUAUGAGUCACCCUCUUACAGCUUCUGCAGAUGUAUUUGGAGAGUAUUGAAAUUUGGCC